Molecule: ribosomal RNA, 253 nt
Filed under: uncultured prokaryote
Description: partial 16S ribosomal RNA
Rfam family: Bacterial small subunit ribosomal RNA
Source: RNAcentral
ACGAAGGGAGCUAGCGUUGUUCGGAAUCACUGGGCGUAAAGCGCACGUAGGCGGAUUUGUUAGUCAGGGGUGAAAUCCCGGGGCUCAACCUCGGAACUGCCUUUGAUACUGCAAAUCUCGAGUCCGGAAGAGGUGGGUGGAAUUCCUAGUGUAGAGGUGAAAUUCGUAGAUAUUAGGAAGAACACCGGUGGCGAAGGCGGCCCACUGGUCCGGUACUGACGCUGAGGUGCGAAAGCGUGGGGAGCAAACAGGA